RNAcentral lists this ribosomal RNA (504 nucleotides) under uncultured bacterium. Its description in RNAcentral is "bacterial SSU rRNA". It matches the Rfam family "Bacterial small subunit ribosomal RNA", at positions 791 to 1301 of the family's 1533-position model. The record is from RNAcentral.
UAGUCCACGCCGUAAACGAUGUUCACUCGCUGUUGGCGAUAUACUGUCAGCGGCCAAGCGAAAGCAUUAAGUGAACCACCUGGGGAGUACGAUCGCAAGGUUGAAACUCAAAGGAAUUGACGGGGGCCCGCACAAGCGGUGGAGCAUGUGGAUUAAUUCGAUGAUACGCGAGGAACCUUACCAGGGCUUAAAUGCAGAACGACAGUUUGGGAAACCAUUCUUUCUUCGGACGGUCUGCAAGGUGCUGCAUGGUUGUCGUCAGCUCGUGCCGUGAGGUGUCGGGUUAAGUCCCAUAACGAGCGCAACCCCUAUUCUUAGUUGCCAGCGGAUAAUGCCGGGGACUCUAAGAAAACUGCCAGUGUAAACUGAGAGGAAGGUGGGGAUGACGUCAAAUCAUCACGGCCCUUACGUCCUGGGCUACACAUGUGCUACAAUGGUCUGUACAGAGAGUUGCUAACUGGUGACAGUGUGCUAAUCUCUAAAGCAGGCCUCAGUUCGGAUUGG